CGCGUAGGCGGCCCUGUAAGUCGGGCGUGAAAUCCCUCGGCUCAACCGAGGAACUGCGUUUGAAACUGCAGGGCUUGAGUCCCGGAGAGGGUAGCGGAAUUCCCAGUGUAGCGGUGAAAUGCGUAGAUAUUGGGAGGAACACCAGUGGCGAAGGCGGCUACCUGGACGGGUACUGACGCUGAGGCGCGAAAGCGUGGGGAGCAAACAGGAUUAGAUACCCUGGUAGUCC
This 229-nucleotide ribosomal RNA is filed under the name uncultured bacterium. RNAcentral describes it as "partial 16S ribosomal RNA". It matches the Rfam family "Bacterial small subunit ribosomal RNA", at positions 568 to 796 of the family's 1533-position model. The record is from RNAcentral.